RNAcentral lists this long non-coding RNA (2560 nucleotides) under Callithrix jacchus (white-tufted-ear marmoset). RNAcentral's name for it is "lncRNA (ENSCJAG00000083077.1)". The record is from RNAcentral. Lineage: Eukaryota; Metazoa; Chordata; Mammalia; Primates; Cebidae.
UGGGAACUACUCUGUAUAGAAGAACUUUCCUUUAGUAAUUUCCAUGAAAACUAUGUGAUGACUUCUGGAACACAGAUGAAACCAGAAAGGAAAAGUGCAAGAAGCUGACAUGAACCUGACCUGUAAUCUGAAACAGACGGAGUUGGUGCCAGCUGGUCUGCAGUCCUGUGAGCAAGAAAUCGAUGUACAUACUCACGAGUAAAACAGAAACAUUUGCUGUUAUAACCCAGGAAGAUUUGGGAGUGGAUUUUUAUGUCGUGUUUCUGCAGCAAUUGUUGAUGAAUAAGCCCAUGAUUAGCCUCAAUGGGAGGAAGUUUGGAGCUUCUCUCAGACAUAUAAGAGUUAUUCUGAAGAAUCUGCAUCUUGUUGGGGUGGAGGACUUCAAAAUGUGUGAUUAAAAUGCACUGGUCUUGUAUCUAUCUAACUGGAACAACUGGUGGACAAGCUCUUACUGCUUCUCCAGGUUCUCACAAGAAAGCAGGCAUGGAUUCCUUUUGCACAGAUUCUCCAGGCUUUCUGGCCCUGUCAUUCCUCCUUCUAUCUUCUGGGUUGAGCAGCAUGCAAUCUCUCCUUGUGUAGAACCCCAAAUAGCUACUGAAAAUGUUUCCUCUCUGACUUUCCCCAUUUCUUGAACUCUGAGAGACUUUUUCUAGUAUCAGAUCUGAAGAGCAUUGCUAUUUUCCUUCCUAUCAUUUGGGAGACCUAAACUUAAAAACUCAAAACCUUGGAAAAACUUCCUUUUUUUCUCUCUUUUGUCUGGAUCAUCACUACCUUGAAAUACUAAAUUAGUAAAGUCCUAACUGGGAACUGAAGUGGCUAAAGAGUCAAGGAGCAACAGGCAAUUCCAAGAAAAACAAUAGGAAACUUACAUCAGUUAACAUUUCAAAGCUAUUUUCCUUUGCAAUUGUAUGUAUUGGUUUUAUGCAAUGCAAGAUAUAAUAGGCUAAAUACUAUUUUGCAUAUAUGUUAUGUUGGAUUUCUCACAUAUUCUACCACUUAAGAUGUUGAGUAAAUAAAUGAGUUAAUAAACUGGAAUUUCUAUAUCAACUCUUGGUUCUAGUUAUGUUUUGUUUUGGAUUUUCUUUUUCUUUUUGAAUGCUUAUUCACUGGCCCAGCUGUAUUUAUGCCUAGAUUAACCAGAGACAUUGCCAGCUGUGAUUUGCAGAUGUGCUCCAGCUCCACAAUGCCAGGAAAAUUCAAUUAUACCUACUAAGGUCAUCGCUAUAAAUCACAACCGCACUGACAUUUUAUGGUGAAUAGUGGCAAUUGAAAUACUUAGCCAGCAGCAGAUUGUAACUGCUUAUAUUACGAUGGCCAAAAUAACCAUGUGUGAAACCAUUAUAUCAGUUAUAUUUACAGCCAAAUCACACCAGGCAGUGGUCCAAGCAAUGGGUUGGCAAUCAGCCUGAUUCAAACUGAGCAAGGCUGCAAAAUGUGAACAAAAACAUGAGCCAUUACAGCAUGUAUUCAGAGUUCAAAUGGAAUAGAACCUCCCAGACACAGUAGACACUGAAAUGAAUAAGCUUGCUCCCAAGGAUUUACCUCAAUUUGCAAGUGUGUGUUAGGUACAAGAUAGAAUUCUCAGACGGACUACCUCUCUGUGGGACAGUCUCUAAAGAGAUCGUUUCAAUAUAUAUGUUCCUUAGAAUAUUCAAAUCCAUAAAGUACUUUCUAACUUUUAUUUUUUGGCCAUAAUUGAGGGGAAGGAUUUACCUUGUUACCUUAAAAAAACUAAACAGACAAGCAAAAUAUAUGAAAUAAUGGUUUUCAGACAUAAGAGGCUAUGCAAGAGAACAAGACAACAGAAACAAAUGAGAUGAGCAAAACUAUAUUUAUACAGCUUUUAGGUUGUUUUACAGAAAAGGGAAAUCCAAACAGUGCCCGGCAGUCUCCCUGAGGUAACCAGAGAAAGUUGAGAACUUGUACAUUCCAAGGUGGCUUUAAAUUACAGAGACAACAACCAAGCAUCAGAUUGCUUCACAAAUAAGAGAGGCCUGCACGGAUAGAGCACUCUGGGGAUUUGAAGAGAGUUCCUUUUGAGAUUUCAACUGAAUAUUACUCAGUGCAUAUAUGUCAGGAAAACAACUAGGACCAAAAAAGGAAUCAGAAGGAAAGAUUCAAAGGAACAACCCCCAGGAUUCCUACAGAGCCUGGAAGAGUUUAUGCUCCUACCUGCUAGAGUUGAAUGAACACUGUAACACAAGGAAGCAUCAGGCAGAGUACUCUAAAGAAUAUUGUCUGAACACUGGGGCAGAAUUAGCCUUUGACUAAAGUCUUCUGAUCCCACCUUAAAAUCAAGCCUUGAAAGGAUCAAUCAGUUUCUAAGUAACUUAAUUGUACCUUAGAACAAAGAUCAAGAAUAUUUAAAUAUACACAAACUAACAAACAAGGUACAUUGCACAAUGUCUGGUAGCCAAUACAAAUUACCAAGCAAGCAAAGAGGCAGAAAAAUGUGAUCCAACAUGAGAAGAAAAAUCAAUCAGUAAAACAGAUUCUUGAAACAGAUGCUAAAAAUAGCAGACAAUAUUGAAACAUCUAUUAUAACUAUAUUGCAAAUAAU